AUGAGGGGUUCGAGAAUGAAUCCAGACCGUAGGACACGGAGUAUCAUGUCAGUAGUAAUUGUGAUGGGUUUGUGCUGCUUCUUCUAUAUACUAGGCGCUUGGCAGAAAAGUGGGACAGGGAGGGGUGACAGUAUAGCAUUGAGGGUGACAAAGGAAACCGACUGUACAAUCUUGCCAAAUUUGCACUUCGAGACCCAUCAUAGCAUGGGUGGUGUUAAUCCGUUGAUCAUGAACAAUAAAGUGUUUAAGCCAUGCCAUAUUAGAUACAGGGACUAUACUCCUUGCCAAGACCAGAACCGAGCAAUGACCUUUCCUAGAGAAAAUAUGACCUAUCGAGAGAGGCAUUGUCCUGCAGAAAAUGAGAAGCUGCACUGUCUUAUCCCAGCACCAAAAGGCUAUGUCACCCCUUUUGCUUGGCCCAAGAGCCGUGAGUAUGUUCCGUAUGCAAAUGCUCCAUACAAGAGUCUGACAGUUGAAAAAGCAAUUCAGAACUGGAUCCAGCACCAGGGAGAUGUGUUCCAUUUCCCAGGAGGCGGGACAAUGUUUCCAAAUGGAGCAAGCUCUUACAUUGAUGAACUUGCAUCAGUCAUUCCACUUGCUGAUGGCACCAUUAGGACUGCACUUGACACUGGAUGCGGGGUUGCAAGCUGGGGUGCUUACCUAAUGGAUAGAAAUAUAUUGACCAUGUCAUUUGCACCUCGAGACUCACACGAAGCUCAGGUUCAAUUUGCUUUGGAGCGAGGUGUUCCUGCUGUAAUUGGAGUGCUUGGGACUAUGAAGCUCCCAUACCCAUCUAGAUCUUUUGAUAUGGCCCACUGCUCACGCUGCUUAAUCCCCUGGAAAUCAAAUGAUGGAAUGUACAUGAUGGAAGUGGAUCGGGUUCUUAGGCCUGGGGGUUAUUGGAUAUUAUCUGGUCCUCCCAUCAAUUGGAAGAAAUAUUACAAAACAUGGCAAAGAUCCAAACAAGAUUCAGAGGAAGAACAAAAUAGAAUUGAGAACAUUGCUGAAAUGCUUUGCUGGAAUAAAAUAUAUGAGAAGGAAGAUACUGUUAUUUGGCAGAAAAAGGCAAAUUCAAAUGCAUGCCAUAACAAGAAUGGUCGUGCCAGCAAGAUGUGCAACGUUCAAGAUGCAGAUGACAUCUGGUAUAAGAAAAUGGAAACCUGUAUAACACCUAUCCCAGAGGGAGCACAGCAGCUACAGAAGUUUCCACAGAGACUAUUUGCAGUCCCUCCCAGAAUUCUAGAAGGUACCCCAGGUGUUACAGAAGAAGUCUAUGAAGAGGAUAAGAAGUUGUGGAAGAAGCAUGUUGAUACAUACAAGAGGGUAAACAAGUUGAUAGGGAAGUCAAGGUAUAGGAAUAUCAUGGACAUGAAUGCAGGCCUUGGAAGUUUUGCUGCAGUGCUGGAUUCUCCCGGCUCCUGGGUCAUGAACGUUGUGCCUACAAUAUCAGAGAGGAACACUCUUGGCAUCAUCUAUGAGCGGGGUCUUAUUGGCAUAUACCAUGAUUGGUGCGAAGCCUUCUCUACGUACCCUAGGACAUAUGACCUGAUACAUGCCAGCGGCGUCUUCAGUUUGUAUGAGAACAAGUGUGACCUGGAAGACAUUCUUCUUGAGAUGGAUAGGAUCUUGCGUCCAGAGGGCACUGUCAUACUGCGGGACAAUGUCGAGGUGCUGAACAAGGUCAGGAUGACGGUGACGGGAAUGCGAUGGAAGUCCAAGCUACUUGAUCACGAAGAUGGCCCUCUCGUGCCUGAAAAACUUCUGAUUGCUGUAAAAACGUACUGGGUUGGCAGCAAAGAAGGAAGCGGUUCAUAG
RNAcentral lists this ribosomal RNA (1815 nucleotides) under Triticum aestivum (bread wheat). RNAcentral's name for it is "partial small subunit ribosomal RNA". Lineage: Eukaryota; Viridiplantae; Streptophyta; Magnoliopsida; Poales; Poaceae. The record is from RNAcentral.